Molecule: transfer RNA, 74 nt
Filed under: Caldifarciminota bacterium JGI_Cruoil_03_44_89
Lineage: Bacteria; Pseudomonadati; Caldifarciminota
Description: tRNA-Arg
Rfam family: tRNA
About the family: Transfer RNA (tRNA) molecules are approximately 80 nucleotides in length. Their secondary structure includes four short double-helical elements and three loops (D, anti-codon, and T loops).
Source: RNAcentral
GCCCCUGUAGCUCAGCGGAUAGAGCACCGGUCUUCGGAACCGGGUUGGCGGGAGUUCGAAUCUCUCCAGGGGUG